AGACUGACUUGGCUUAAAAGGUUAGAGGCCAUAAAACUACGUUAACCAGAAAGAGCCUAAAGAAAGAAAGAAAAACAGUCUAAUGUAAGCUUUGAGAAAAAUCCAAACAACUAUGAUGGACCAAUAAGUGGACAUGUCUGUAUACAUGCUGAAAGCCAGGGUAUGGCACUUAAUUUGGAAGACAAAAAUUAACCUAACCCCAAAUCCUUUCAUGAAUACUGGGGCAUAAGAUUCAUAUAUGGCUUGUCUCUCUAGUUCUUUUUAUAUUCUUCUUUGCUCUUAUCAUGAAAUUGGUUAGUCCAGAACAAAGUGGAUAUUUAAAAGUAUGUAUCAUAUCAUCCAGGGUAUAAUUCAAUUUAAAAAUCUAUGGUAUAUAUUUGUUAAAUUCUUAUUUUUGAAAUUACAAUCGUUAUAUUCUAGCCUUUAUCAUGAUGUUUGUGACUUUCUUCAGUCUCCAACUUCAGAUGAGAGAAUGGUUUGUUUCCUAUUCAUAUCAAAAAACAAAUGAACCACUUGGCAUUUUCAUUGGUCAUAUGACAUGAAUUAAUAUAAAAUUGAUAAAGAUAAUAAACUCAUGGAAGUUGACCGAAGUAGCAACUAAUAUUUGUAAUUUUGUUAUAAACAUGGAGAAGUCCACUUAAGUACCAGCUGUGUUUAUUAUUGCAUUUUUGAGGUCUAAUGAUCAUUAGUCUGAUAUAAACCAACCCUGUAAAUAGAUCAUUUGUGGGGAAAAAAACACAUUAGUCAAUUUUAAAUGGUAAAGAAAAACCACUCUUUUUAACAAAACAAAAAAUCAAAUACAUCUGGUAUGGGCAUCGAUCUUUGAGGCAACACUGAAUAUGUUAAAUGGUAAAAACAAGUAGUGAUGAAUCUUCCCAUUCAGAAUGUUUCUCAUUAUUGUAUUUGUCUAUCAGUGUCUCAGAUACAAUUUUGAAAGUUAUUGUCGAGCAUAUAUUUGUUAUGAAGUAUGUUUUAGUGAGAACUAAUUUAAUAACUUUUUAAAUUGUAAAAUAUUUAAUAUUUCUUUUGCAGUUAUAUAUAUGAACAAGGUAUAACUUUAUAAACUAUCAUAUUCAAAUAUGCGAUUUUUAAGCUUGUUUACCCUAGUUUUUUUUUAAGGUAAUCAGGCCUGUUGUACAUAUUACUCAAGCAGAACAUAUUGUUCUUCCAUGUAUAUUUUUUACUAGAAUUACCUGUCCAUUCGUUUAUCAUUCAAAACAAGGAAAUUAGUUCAGUGAGAAAAAUGAAGAUUUGAAA
Molecule: long non-coding RNA, 1257 nt
Organism: Limulus polyphemus (Atlantic horseshoe crab)
Lineage: Eukaryota; Metazoa; Arthropoda; Merostomata; Xiphosura; Limulidae
Exons: 2
Source: RefSeq, a predicted model, not a curated record